UUGAAUACGAUUGGUACUGAUGCUGGCUCUUCACAGAGCAUGUGCUCGUCCAUCUAUUUAUCUUCUCUUGUGCACAUCUUGUAGUCUUGAAUGAAACCUCUCGCAGUCAAUGCGGUUUGGGAGUUUGUUAACCCUUCUCCUGCUUCUUCAAGGCUAUGUUUUCAUAUACACUAUAAAGUUACAGAAUGUCUUUUAAAGGCUUGCGCUUGUCGCAGUCAUUAAACCUAUA
This 229-nucleotide unclassified non-coding RNA is filed under the name uncultured Mycena. RNAcentral describes it as "sequence contains ITS1". The record is from RNAcentral. Lineage: Eukaryota; Fungi; Basidiomycota; Agaricomycetes; Agaricales; Tricholomataceae.